Long non-coding RNA from Formica exsecta, 1661 nucleotides. RefSeq lists it as uncharacterized. The transcript has 2 exons. NCBI's taxonomy places the organism in Eukaryota, Metazoa, Arthropoda, Insecta, Hymenoptera, Formicidae. The record is from RefSeq and is a predicted model, not a curated record.
GCUCACACACACACCGCUCUCCUGCGCUCUCCUCCGUUGGAGCGCCGCCUCCAACCCUCGCCACGGAGCGGCGCGCGGCGUCAUCCCCCCGAUUGGAAGCAACCCCCGAUGGCGGUAUCCUCCGAUUGGCGCUUGAAGCGGGAACAGGGAGAGACACUUGAAGAAAUGGCGCAUUCAAACGGUAACAUCGAGGGCGCUGUGUCGCGAACCAAUGUGGCGACCCUGUGGCAAUCUAGGAAAUUUACCAUCGUUACCAACUUCGCCAAAAGUCAUUACAAUGCAGCGACAUCUGAUUAAGUACGAUAAAAAUAUUUACUUGUCGACAUUGGUAACAUAUCGAUUGAAAAACUUUAUUUUCGACCGUCGGUUCUCGAAAAUCUAAUUUUUUCUUUUUUUAAUCUAUUAAAAUUUUGUUUAUUAAUAUAUUGUACUAUUAUUAAUUAUAUUUUGUAAUAUAUCACGUUUUCACAUAUAUCUUUCGCAAAUUUUUAUUUGUCAUCUAUUGUUACAUACAUAUACUACUGAAUACGAAAUAAGAAAUUCUCUGAUACGUAUUGUUACAUGUUUGUUCAUAUUUGGUACCGCAUAAUUACACUUUAAUAGAAUAAUAUUACUUUCACCAGUUUCUUGUAGCAUUCUAUAUCUUUCAAAGAUAGCCAACCUUUUUAUAUUACAUAUUGUGGACAAAUGGCACAAAAAUUUCAAAUCUAAUUGCUAUAUCUAGAUCAGCCUGAUUCAGUAUGAUUGUCGGUGCUCUUGAUACACUUUGUAUGACGAUUCUGUCUUAUACAACAAGAAGAUAAGUUUUUGUUUGUCAAACUCUACAUGCCUAAUAUAGCUUGGCCAUCUUUGUGAUGUAUUUGUAAUUGUGAUGUAUUUGUAAUUGUGAAGACAUUUAACAUAUAAGUUUAUAGAUAUAAACCUGAGAAGAGAUUAUUUUUAAAUGUAUAAGAGUACUGUCAUGAAAAAAAUACAAUGUGACUCUUGAAUAUAUAGAGAAGUAGAAAAAUAUAUGUCACAGGAAAGUGAUUGGGAUAUUCAGUUAAAAACUCUGAACGAGAGCACUAAAGUUAUAAUACAGCUUUGUCUUCUGAAGAAUUCCACCGUUUAAAGUGGAAAAUAUCACACAUUCUGUUGUUCUAAUAUAUCUCUAACUUCACAGAGAAGAGAUAAAACUUGACAGAUGACAGAGAUAUAAAUAUAGCAACAUUUAUAUUACAUAUUCUGUUUGUAUCUUUCUCUUUUUGUAGUGUUCUAAUUUGACUUCCCAUUGAAAAAAAUAAAAAAAUUAAAAUAAGAACAUUUUUCUAUUUGUAAAGGAACUUUUGAGUUUGAACUAUGGACAAUAUGGAAGUAAAAGAGAGCAGCGGCUGUAUUAAUGCAGAAUCACAUCAACGUUAAAUAUCACAUUACAAUAUCUGCUUCAGAAGCAUAUUGCAGUUCAAAGAUAAUUAAUAUAAAUUAUGAGUUUCAAAACAUAUAUAACUUUUUAAGAAUAAUUAAUAUAAUAGAUUAUUACAUUUGAAUAAUAUAAAGUAAUGUGGCACUUGUUAAAGGAACAUCGACUUCUUUACAAAAUGCAAAUAGUGUUCAAAAGAGGCUCUUGAAAUAUGUAAUUUAAAAAAAAAGAAAUGUUUUGAAUAUAUUUUAACACAAAAAAA